RNAcentral lists this ribosomal RNA (401 nucleotides) under Neoseiulus cucumeris. Its description in RNAcentral is "eukaryotic LSU rRNA". It matches the Rfam family "Eukaryotic large subunit ribosomal RNA", at positions 835 to 1237 of the family's 3401-position model. Lineage: Eukaryota; Metazoa; Arthropoda; Arachnida; Mesostigmata; Phytoseiidae. The record is from RNAcentral.
GCCUAGUCAAGAUGAAGCCAGAGGAAACUCUGGUGGAUGUCUGAAGUUAUUCUGACGUGCAAAUCGAUAAUCUGAUCUGGGUAUAGGGGCGAAAGACUAAUCGAACCAUCUAGUAGCUGGUUCCUUCCGAAGUUUCCCUCAGGAUAGCAAGUGUACAUUGUUAGUUUCAUCCAGUAAAGCGAAUGAUUAGAGGUAUUGGGGCAUAUAUAGCCUCAACCUAUUCUCAAACUUUUAAUGGGUGUGAGUGUUCUUUCUUAAUUGAAGAACGCUGCUAAAUAAGUAUGCUUAGUGGGCCAUUUUUGGUAAGCAGAACUGGCGCUGUGGGUUGAACCAAAUGUUGAGUUAAAGUGCCUAAAGCCCAAAUGCGCAUGAGAUCUAUAAAGGGUGUUAGUUGCUGAAGA